Molecule: unclassified non-coding RNA, 255 nt
Filed under: Capnodiales sp.
Lineage: Eukaryota; Fungi; Ascomycota; Dothideomycetes; Capnodiales
Description: partial contains 5.8S ribosomal RNA, internal transcribed spacer 2, and large subunit ribosomal RNA
Source: RNAcentral
CGCACAUUGCGCCCCCUGGCAUUCCGGGGGGCAUGCCCGUUCGAGCGUCAUUAAAUCCAAUCAAGCCUGGCUUGGUGUUGGGCGUCAGGACUGCCCUGCGCCCUAAUUUCACCGGCUGGCCGUUGCCCGUCUUAGCGUUGUGAUACACUUUUCGCUAGCGAUGGGGGCGGCUCAUGCCGUUAGAAUUCAAUUGAAUUUCAAUCGAAAUUCGACGAGGUUGACCUCGGAUCGGGUAGGAAUACCCGCUGAACUUAA